GUUUAUGUUCUGUUGUUAUACGUUGACCUGUUAUUGAAUUAUAGAAUUGGAUUAUUGUUUUUAUAUAAACCUGUGGACCAGAUUCGUGGUACGCUUCAAGCUAAUUGGGACUUCAAACGAUAUCAAGGUGGGCCCAUAACCCACAGGUUGACGAUCCAAACGAUCGAAGAGAUGUUACAUGUCAUGCUAUGGACUUCAAAGGCAAUUGGGAUGAAAUAAUGUAAACUACUUGGGGCCAGACUUAUUACGAACCAUGAUAUCUUACAACGCUAUUACGAUUGAACGUCGAUCAAUUAUCGAGAAGGUUGAAAAGGAGAUAUACAACGAACGACGAUUUUUGAAGUAGAGCAGUAAUUUGAGAAGACCUUGGCAAUACCUCUCUUCAACUAAAGAUUCUUUUGAUUGUUUUCUCAUCAGUGAGAUAUUAUCAUGAUAUCUUUUCUAUAAAAGUUUUGAUAAAUGAGAUCUUCAAUUUCUCAAAUUCUAAGAUGACAUUGAUAUUGAUUAUUGGUAUGAGUUGGAAAGCAAAGAUGUGUGAUAAAGGUUUGUUGUGAAGAGAUAGUGAUGUUCCUUGAUAUUGUUUGACAUUUCUUGACAUUCCUUGAUACCCUUUCAUCUUCCUUGAUAUCCCUUGAUGUUCUUUGAUAUCUUUGAUAUUCCUUGACAUUCUUUGAUAUUCUUUGACAUUUAUUCAAAUUGAUUGGGAUGAACAACCCUAUUUAUAGGGGACACAAGGUAUACCUGUCUGUGUGAUAGGAGUUGGAUGGGACGCCAUCACUUGUGUGUGUUGUGAUUACAAGAAGGUUAACAACCUUUAGUAGUGUCUAAUAUGGACACGCAACACCAAGUUCGUUGAUCAUAUAGAUCUCUCAGUCACUCCUUUAUUCAAAUGUGAUCUACCUUGAAAACAUUUUGUUCUAUUCAAAAUUCCCAAAGAUUGAUUCUUGGGAAAUGAAUUCUGCAAUUGUGAAAGCUGAUUCUCCAAUUUCUUUAAAGCUAAAGGUAUGCCAAGGCCGAUCAAAGGUGAAUGAUGAUACGUUAUUACGAAGCGUAUAGUGGAAUCUUAUAAGUGAUACGUUUGAGUUCUUUUUGCGGAUUCCGAGGGCGGAAUCCUUAUAAGGGGGGUAGAAUGUAAUAUCUCAUAUUAUUAAAUUUAGAUUUGAUUAUUAUAAAUCUAUUUGUCUAGAUAUUGUUGUUGGCUUUAGUUGAAAAGUGAAUUGAUUAUGGGAAUAGUUCUAUAUGAUUAUACUUGUUCUGUGGAUUAAUAUGGAUUAUACUAUUUAUGCGUUCUCCUUCUUUCUCUGAUUCCGAGGACGGAAUCCCUAUAAGGAGGGUAGAUUGUAAUAACCCGGAUUUUUAAAAAUAUUUUUGUUAAUAUUAUAAAUGAUUUUCUUAAAAAGAAAGGAAUAAGAUUUAAUAUUUUAUUCCAGUUUAAUGAGUUUUCAAAGUUUUAUAUUUAAACCCCGGGUUAUUGUGUUAUUGAUAAAUAAUUGUAUUUUCAAAACUGAUUUUCAUAUAUUGUUUUGAAAAUUCUGUAUGAAUAUUAUGUGAAUAUAUGUGUGAUGUGAGUAAGUGGUAUUGGUGGAUUUGUUGGUUAAUUAAUUAUGGUUAAUUAUGAGUAUUAUAUGAUUAAUAUAUGAAUUUUUGUGAAUUUUAUAUUAUCUGGUUUAUUGCGUUAACUGCUCAUAUGUGUUCGUAUUUGAGAGAUUUCAAUUUCUAUAUGCUCAGGAGAAAAUAUAGUUUAUUUGGAUAUUUUCAUAUCGAUUUAUGGAAUGUUAGAUGAUUUUAUAAUCGAUUUACGGAUUUAAUUGUGUAUAUUUAUAUUUAUUUAUUGAUUAUUUGACUUCCGUAAAACCGUUCACUCGUAACGAGGUAGCAAAUUUUCUUCCCGGAAGUUUCGAGAAAACUCACCUUUAGCCUAAUUUGAAUAUUCCGGACAUUUUUCGUGUUUUGACUUUUUCGAUCCGGAGUACGGUUUUCCCCGUAGUCGGUCCGGCGGAGUUUUUCGGGUAUUUUAAUUGUUGAUAAUUAUCUGGUUGUCUCGAUAAACGUGAAACUAGAUAUUUUGAUUCAUCCUUAUCUUGUAAUAAUUGCAGUAGGGCCCGCAUACUAAUGACUGAUUAAAAAGCCCCGUUUUGAUGAUUAUCUUGAAAACCAGUACCGAUUGGACCCCGCUUUAUUACUAUAAAGCUAUUAAAUACGUAUGAUGACUGGAGUUGAUUGAUUGGUUGUUGAUUGAAAUAGGUUGACCGGAGGAUAGUCUAAUAAAUAGACGAGACGCUGUCAAGUUAUCGAUUGGAUUUAUAUGAUAAUUGAUUUGUGAUAUGUUAUGUGAAAGAUGACUUGACUAUAUGAUAGAGUCAAAGCAUGAUUAUGUGUUAAGUGAUAUCUGAUAGGUUUAAAGGGUUAUAUAAGUGGGUAUCGAUGUACGUGAGAUGUAUACGCGAUCGAUUGUUUAGUGAUUAUAGUGUUAUCUUAUUCUCGUAAAGGAUUUGGACGAGACGUGUAUGCCCGAAGACGUUCAGAAAGUCACGUGGUGUUACAAAGCGAAUAAGGGAUGAAUCGAGUAAGCGAAGCGAAGAUGUACGGUAGAUAGAGUAUAGCCAGAGAUGGUCUAGAGACUACGAGAGGCAUAGAUUGUGAAAGUGGAAAGAUGAGAUUGAGAUGUGAGACUGGAGUCAGAUUUAAGGCAAGUAUCCCAAACCUUUCUCUUGGAUAUAUUGCAAAUAUUCUGAUCCAUUCCUUUGAUAUAUGUUUCAAGUAUUCAUACCUUUCUUUUCAAUGUUCGAAAGUGCGAGUAUUCUGACCCAUUCUUUCUAAUCUUCAAGUUUCUAAAGAAUUUCCGUUUUACAAAUUAAUUCGAAGUUCAGAUUGUCAUUGAAGCAUGUGUUGCUCAGUGAUAGUUAGAGCUUUGAAUGAAUUGGGAUCUUCUUGAUUAUUCAACCCGCCAUUGUCAUGCUGGUUUAGCAGGCUAAAUUCAGUUGCUUAGCCGAUAAUGGAGGAUACUGAAUAGUUGAGGAUUUCCUGAACUGUGAUUUAUGAAAUGAUGAAUCAUGAUUUAUGAAUAGAUUAUUAUCAAAGUUUGAAUUGGAAUUAUUCUGUUGUUGAUGAUAUUUAUGAGGAUGUUCUGUUGAUUUACAUUGGCUUCUUGAAUUGAAUUAGAGAAUUGGAUUAUUGUUUUUAUAUAAACCUGUGGACCAGAUUCGUGGUCAUGUUAGGCCAAUGAGUGCCUUGGAUCCAGUAAUAGAGCAUGGCGGGGCCUGCUCGGGGUUAGUGCGGAACUGAUCAGCUGCCUAACCUUGGUUUUAAUUAAAAUGUGAUAGUCCAAUUCAAUAAUUCUU
Molecule: long non-coding RNA, 3341 nt
Filed under: Daucus carota (carrot)
Lineage: Eukaryota; Viridiplantae; Streptophyta; Magnoliopsida; Apiales; Apiaceae
Description: long non-coding RNA (DCAR_LNC000546)
Source: RNAcentral